RNAcentral lists this ribosomal RNA (398 nucleotides) under uncultured bacterium. RNAcentral's name for it is "bacterial SSU rRNA". It matches the Rfam family "Bacterial small subunit ribosomal RNA", at positions 143 to 518 of the family's 1533-position model. The record is from RNAcentral.
AUAACAUCCGGAAACGGGUGCUAAUACCGCAUAGUUUUCUUGAUCGCAUAGGAUUAGAGAAAGGAAAGACGGCCUUUGUGCUGUCGCUUAUGGAUGGACCCGCGGCGUAUUAGUUAGUUGGUGAGGUAAUGGCUCACCAAGACGAUGAUACGUAGCCGACCUGAGAGGGUGAUCGGCCACAUUGGGACUGAGACACGGCCCAAACUCCUACGGGAGGCAGCAGUAGGGAAUCUUCCGCAAUGGACGAAAGUCUGACGGAGCAACGCCGCGUGAGUGAAGAAGGUUUUUUCCGGGAUCGUAAAACUCUGUUGUCAGAGAAGAACAAGUUGGAGAGUAACUGCUCCAGCCUUGACGGUAUCUGACCAGAAAGCCACGGCUAACUACGUGCCAGCCGCUGC